AUGCAUCAGAAAGAUAGCAAGAAACCACAGUAUAUAACACAACAGCAAAGACAAACUGAAUUCAGGCUCACUUAUUCAUUGUUCACCAAAGCUGCUGCACACCAGCAGAAGUUCGAAGAUACAAAUGGUAACACUGCAUCAAUGUACGGUACAGAAACAAAGACAGGAUCAGGCAACCGCAGACACAAACGAGACUCAAUGAAGGACACCAAAGACCAGACUUGCGGACCCAGAGACCAAAGCAGAGCUCCAUGGCCAGGAGCUUUACUGGCCACCACGGAGACGGAGCACCAAGUGAAGGGUGGACUCCUUCUGGAUGUUGUAGUCCGCCAGGGUGCGGCCAUCCUCAAGCUGCUUACCAGCAAAGAUCAGGCGCUGCUGGUCCGGGGGGAUGCCCUCCUUGUCCUGGAUCUUCGCCUUCACGUUGUCAAUGGUGUCAGAUGA
This 444-nucleotide ribosomal RNA is filed under the name Triticum aestivum (bread wheat). Its description in RNAcentral is "partial small subunit ribosomal RNA". Lineage: Eukaryota; Viridiplantae; Streptophyta; Magnoliopsida; Poales; Poaceae. The record is from RNAcentral.